Molecule: ribosomal RNA, 636 nt
Filed under: Klebsiella pneumoniae
Lineage: Bacteria; Pseudomonadati; Pseudomonadota; Gammaproteobacteria; Enterobacterales; Enterobacteriaceae
Description: bacterial SSU rRNA
Rfam family: Bacterial small subunit ribosomal RNA
Source: RNAcentral
GAAUUGACGGGGGCCCGCACAAGCGGUGGAGCAUGUGGUUUAAUUCGAUGCAACGCGAAGAACCUUACCUGGUCUUGACAUCCACAGAACUUUCCAGAGAUGGAUUGGUGCCUUCGGGAACUGUGAGACAGGUGCUGCAUGGCUGUCGUCAGCUCGUGUUGUGAAAUGUUGGGUUAAGUCCCGCAACGAGCGCAACCCUUAUCCUUUGUUGCCAGCGGUCCGGCCGGGAACUCAAAGGAGACUGCCAGUGAUAAACUGGAGGAAGGUGGGGAUGACGUCAAGUCAUCAUGGCCCUUACGACCAGGGCUACACACGUGCUACAAUGGCAUAUACAAAGAGAAGCGACCUCGCGAGAGCAAGCGGACCUCAUAAAGUAUGUCGUAGUCCGGAUUGGAGUCUGCAACUCGACUCCAUGAAGUCGGAAUCGCUAGUAAUCGUAGAUCAGAAUGCUACGGUGAAUACGUUCCCGGGCCUUGUACACACCGCCCGUCACACCAUGGGAGUGGGUUGCAAAAGAAGUAGGUAGCUUAACCUUCGGGAGGGCGCUUACCACUUUGUGAUUCAUGACUGGGGUGAAGUCGUAACAAGGUAACCGUAGGGGAACCUGCGGUUGGAUCACCUCCUUACCUUAAAGAA